This 348-nucleotide ribosomal RNA is filed under the name Triticum aestivum (bread wheat). RNAcentral describes it as "partial small subunit ribosomal RNA". The record is from RNAcentral. Lineage: Eukaryota; Viridiplantae; Streptophyta; Magnoliopsida; Poales; Poaceae.
AUGGCCCGCGGUGCAGCUACUCAGCUCGUGCUGGUCGCCAUGGUGGCCGCUAUGCUCCUCGUAGCCUGCGAUGCGGCGAUAUCCUGCGGUCAGGUGACCUCUGCCUUGAGCCCCUGCAUCUCCUAUGCACGCGGCAACGGCGCCAACCCGCCUGCGGCCUGCUGCAGCGGCGUCAGGAGUCUGGCCGGUGCAGCCCAGAGCACCGCUGACAAGCAAGCAGCGUGCAAGUGCAUCAAGAGCGCUGCUGGUGGGCUCAACGCUGGCAAGGCCGCCGGCAUCCCUUCAAAGUGCGGCGUCAGCGUCCCCUACGCCAUCAGCUCAUCUGUGGACUGUUCUAAGAUUCGUUGA